Molecule: long non-coding RNA, 598 nt
Filed under: Eutrema salsugineum
Lineage: Eukaryota; Viridiplantae; Streptophyta; Magnoliopsida; Brassicales; Brassicaceae
Description: long non-coding RNA (ESAL_LNC000633)
Source: RNAcentral
AAAUUUUCACAAAGUACAAAUCGAUUUUAUGAAAUGGGUACUUCAAGCUUUAACAAAAAAAGAAAAAGAAAUGGUUACCUGAUUUGAAUGCUCACUUGAUUUGGAGGAUAAAGGUUAAUUACUCUAAUUUUUUUCUCAAUUCAUGAAAUGGGUACACCAAUUUUGAUAUCAUAUAUGUGAGGCAAAGGUCAAAUUUUUACACCAAAUAUGGGAGGCAAAGAUCAGAUUUUUACACCAAAUACUAUACCAAUUCAUGAAAUCGGUACUUGGUGAGCAUAAAGGUCUAUUUUUAAAAACCAAUUUUGAUUCCAAUUUGAUUCUAAUACACCAAUUAAUGAAAUGGGUACUUAAAAUGUGAAGCAAAGAUCAAAUAAAUUGAAGUGGGUACUUGAUCGUGAACAUAAAAGGUCAUUUUUUUCAGAUCCUAAUUUUUGUUCUUUCUCAAUUAUUCUAUCAUCAUAAUCUGUUUUUUUUUUUUUUAACUUACUUGGUCUGGAGUUUUCGGUGCUGCUGCUGCACAAGGUUCUGAAGAAACCUCGAGUGUAAGAGGUGGUGGAUCUUCUUGAUCGUGCUAAGAAAUCUGGACCGUUAGAUGGGA